RNAcentral lists this microRNA precursor (106 nucleotides) under Rhinopithecus bieti (black snub-nosed monkey). Its description in RNAcentral is "miRNA (ENSRBIG00000009859.1)". Lineage: Eukaryota; Metazoa; Chordata; Mammalia; Primates; Cercopithecidae. The record is from RNAcentral.
AGAGGAAUGAACAGUUAAAUUAUAACAUAUCCAUAAUAUGCGUUAAUUGUGGACACAUACUACUAACGCAUAAUAUGGAUAUGUUAUAAUUUAACUCUUCCUUUCU